CCUACGGGGGGCAGCAGUGAGGAAUAUUGGUCAAUGGGCGCGAGCCUGAACCAGCCAAGUCGCGUGAGGGAAGACGGUCCUAUGGAUUGUAAACCUCUUUUGUCGGGGAGCAAAAGACGCCACGCGUGGCGUUCCGAGAGUACCCGAAGAAAAAGCAUCGGCUAACUCCGUGCCAGCAGCCGCGGUAAUACGGAGGAUGCGAGCGUUAUCCGGAUUUAUUGGGUUUAAAGGGUGCGCAGGCGGAAGAUCAAGUCAGUGGUAAAAUUGAGAGGCUCAACCUCUUCGAGCCGUUGAAACUGGUUGUCUUGAGUGAGUGAGAAGUAUGUGGAAUGCGUGGUGUAGCGGUGAAAUGCAUAGAUAUCACGCAGAACUCCGAUUGCGAAGGCAGCAUACCGGCGCUCAACUGACGCUCAUGCACGAAAGUGUGGGUAUCGAACAGGAUUAGAUACCCGGGUAGUC
This 459-nucleotide ribosomal RNA is filed under the name uncultured bacterium. Its description in RNAcentral is "partial 16S ribosomal RNA". It matches the Rfam family "Bacterial small subunit ribosomal RNA", at positions 338 to 795 of the family's 1533-position model. The record is from RNAcentral.